CCUACGGGUGGCAGCAGUGGGGAAUAUUGCGCAAUGGGCGAAAGCCUGACGCAGCGACGCCGCGUGAGGGAUGAAGGUCUUCGGAUCGUAAACCUCUGUCAGCAGGGAAGAAAGGUCCGUGUGCUACUCAGCACUGCAUUGACCGUACCUUCAAAGGAAGCACUGGCUAACUCCGUGCCAGCGGGCUCGGUAAUACGGAGGGUGCGAGCGUUAAUCGGAAUUGCUGGGCUUAAAGGGCGCGUGGGCGGUAUGUUAAGCGAAGGGUGAAAUCCCCGCGCCUAACGCGGGAACUGCAGUUGAAACUGGGGAACUGGAGUGUGCGAGAGGAUGGUGGAAUUCCAGGUGUAGGGGUGAAAUCCUUAGAUAUCAGGAGGAACAUCAGUGGCGAAGGCGACUAUCUGGCACAUAACUGACGCUGAGGCGCGAAAGCGUGGGUAGCAAACAGGAUUAGAUACCCCAGUAGUC
This 465-nucleotide ribosomal RNA is filed under the name uncultured bacterium. RNAcentral's name for it is "partial 16S ribosomal RNA". It matches the Rfam family "Bacterial small subunit ribosomal RNA", at positions 338 to 795 of the family's 1533-position model. The record is from RNAcentral.